This is a long non-coding RNA of Dromaius novaehollandiae (emu), 958 nucleotides long. RefSeq lists it as uncharacterized. Lineage: Eukaryota; Metazoa; Chordata; Aves; Casuariiformes; Dromaiidae. The record is from RefSeq and is a predicted model, not a curated record. The transcript has 4 exons.
UGUUUCCAGUUGCGUCCUUUGCCUCUUGUUCCAUCACUGGAUACCCCUGAGAAGAGUCUGGCUCCAUCUCCUUUACUUACCCACAUCAGAUUUCUCUGGGAUUCCGCUUGUACCACUGCCCCAUGGAACUACCAUCUGAGUUACUCAUCUUAGACAGCAUGCCUGAGGAUGAGAAACUAUGAAAGUUUGCAUUGCCCCAGCCAAGCACUCCCCAAGCUUCACAUGGGAACAAGCACCUGGGAUUGAGGAAGAGGAGAGGGAAAGGAGCAAAACUUGUGAUCAGGACAAAGACUUCCUUAGGCACCAAAUAGUCCCCAGAUACCAACUCUGAGAGCCCACAUCCAGCACGUUCCUCAGCCUCCUGAGCAUUAAAAGUUAAUUCAAGAUGAAGAAGAAGACAGCUUCCUGCAGCUCAGAAGAAUUUUGACCCUUCUUUGAAAGCCAUAUCCUGUUUCUUCAUGUGGUAUGUUGGGACAGAAACCACUCAAGAAGUCACGUGAUUUCCUGUAUAAUCCAAAAUGCUCAUGGCAAAAAAGUUUUUGUAACGAAGUGUAUCACUGUGUUUGGGUUUGGAGUACCACAGUGAUAUAAAUGGCAUAAAGUCCUGUACAAAACUUGAAGACACAAAAAAGACCAUAUAUCUUAAGGAGAAAAAGAGACAGAAGCUUGAAAUGCUUGAGGAGACAAAUCCAGCAUUGUUUUCCUGUGUGCAUUUGUCAUGGAACGAUAGAGCUCACAGAGUUUCCAAGAGAUGGAAGAAAGGGAAAACUGUGAAGUCCUGUCCUGGAUCAAGCCAUUUGAAAUCAUUGAACUAUUGAAUUACUGUUUUUCCCCUCCCAGUUCUGGAAGAAAAUGUGGCUCUGGACACCCUAAUGGGAUUUUACUUAUGAAUAAUUAAGACAAAUGUCUGGAUUUUCAUUUCCUAUUUUACACACACACCUGCUAUGAUGCUGCUGCC